Molecule: unclassified non-coding RNA, 206 nt
Filed under: plant metagenome
Description: partial contains small subunit ribosomal RNA and internal transcribed spacer 1
Rfam family: Eukaryotic small subunit ribosomal RNA (bases 1-46)
Source: RNAcentral
AAGUCGUAACAAGGUCUCCGUUGGUGAACCAACGGAGGGAUCAUUACCGAGUUUACAACUCCCAAACCCCUGUGAACAUACCUAUCGUUGCUUGCGGCGGCAUGCCGCCCCGGCGGCCCUCGGGCCCGGAUCGAGGCCGCCCGGCCGGAGACCCCAAACUCUUGUAUUUCUUUAGUAUCUUCUGAGUAAACAAGCAAAUAAUUAAA